GACGAACCGAGCGAACGUUGUUCGGAAUCACUGGGCUUAAAGGGCGCGUAGGCGGGCGAUCAAGUCGGUGGUGAAAUCCUACAGCUUAACUGUAGAACUGCCUCCGAUACCGGUUGUCUCGAGGAAGGUAGGGGCGUGCGGAACAGUUGGUGGAGCGGUGAAAUGCGUUGAUAUCAACUGGAACUCCGGUGGCGAAGGCGGCACGCUGGACCUUUUCUGACGCUGAGGCGCGAAAGCCAGGGGAGCAAACGGG
Molecule: ribosomal RNA, 253 nt
Filed under: uncultured bacterium
Lineage: Bacteria
Description: partial 16S ribosomal RNA
Rfam family: Bacterial small subunit ribosomal RNA
Source: RNAcentral